This 497-nucleotide ribosomal RNA is filed under the name uncultured bacterium. Its description in RNAcentral is "partial 16S ribosomal RNA". It matches the Rfam family "Bacterial small subunit ribosomal RNA", at positions 28 to 507 of the family's 1533-position model. The record is from RNAcentral.
GAUGAACGCUGGCGGCGUGCCUAAUACAUGCAAGUCGAGCGAACGGACGAGAAGCUUGCUUCUCUGAUGUUAGCGGCGGACGGGUGAGUAACACGUGGAUAACCUACCUAUAAGACUGGGAUAACUUCGGGAAACCGGAGCUAAUACCGGAUGAUAUUUUGAACCGCAUGGUUCAAAAGUGAAAGACGGUCUUGCUGUCACUUAUAGAUGGAUCCGCGCUGCAUUAGCUAGUUGGUAAGGUAACGGCUUAUCAAGGCAACGAUGCGUAGCCGACCUGAGAGGGUGAUAGGCCACACUGGAACUGAGACAGGGUCCAGGCUCCUGAGGGAGGCAGCAGUAGGGAAUCUGCCGCAAUGGGCGAAAGCCUGACGGAGCAGCGCCGCGUGAGUGAUGAAGGUCUUCGGAUCGUAAAACUCUGUUAUUAGGGAAAAACAGAUGUGUAAGUAACUGUUCACAUCUUGACGGUACCUAAUCAGAAAGCCACGGCUAACUACGUG